CAAGACAAAACAUCCAACAAUCCAACCAAAAUAACACCACUGCCAAGAACAAGAAAGAAAAAGACAUCCAAACAAAUCAUAACAUGAAGCUCAGGAUUUAAACAAAAAGGGGAAGGGAAAGAGCAGGAGAAGGAAGAAGACAAAAAUGAAAUAUAAUGAUGGAGAGUGAAAAAUACUCUAUUAGAAAAUUAAAUCUUAGAGAAGUCAUUCUCACAAGGAUGCUGAUGAAGACUUGGUUUGAAAUAAAAUGAAGAGCCUGGAAUAAAAUCAGCUGUCCCUAAUCUCAUGUAAGGGAGUAUAACCUGGGAUAAACUAGGUCUUGGUUCCAACAUUGAAACUCAUUCAACCUAGGACUGCAGCACCUGUUCUUAUUGUCUGUGAGUCCUGCCUUGCCUAUAAUAACAUAGAAGAUAGUCUGUAAUGUAAUAUGAUGGGUCAGCCUGUGUCAAUGAUGUGAGG
RNAcentral lists this long non-coding RNA (459 nucleotides) under Sus scrofa (pig). Its description in RNAcentral is "lncRNA (ENSSSCG00030046197.1)". Lineage: Eukaryota; Metazoa; Chordata; Mammalia; Artiodactyla; Suidae. The record is from RNAcentral.